Molecule: ribosomal RNA, 278 nt
Filed under: uncultured Eubacteriales bacterium
Lineage: Bacteria; Bacillati; Bacillota; Clostridia; Eubacteriales
Description: uncultured Clostridiales bacterium partial 16S ribosomal RNA
Rfam family: Bacterial small subunit ribosomal RNA
Source: RNAcentral
UACGUAAGGACCGAGCGUUGUCCGGAAUCAUUGGGCGUAAAGGGUACGUAGGCGGUUAUCUAAGUUAGAAGUCAAAGGCUAUAGCUCAACUAUAGUAAGCUUUUAAAACUGGAUAACUUGAGAGAUGGAAGGGAAAGUGGAAUUCCUAGUGUAGCGGUGAAAUGCGCAGAUAUUAGGAGGAAUACCGGUGGCGAAGGCGACUUUCUGGCCAUUAUCUGACGCUGAGGUACGAAAGCGUGGGUAGCAAACAGGAUUAGAUACCCUGGUAGUCAAGGGCG